Saccostrea echinata is the source of this 194-nucleotide long non-coding RNA. RefSeq lists it as uncharacterized. Lineage: Eukaryota; Metazoa; Mollusca; Bivalvia; Ostreida; Ostreidae. The transcript is spliced from 3 exons. The record is from RefSeq and is a predicted model, not a curated record.
AGGAAAUGAGUAAAAACUUAAUGAGACAUCGGAGAAAAAUUCAGAAGAGUAUGAUAGAAAACUUUCAAAAGAUGGAGUCAAACCUUCUGACAAAGUUGAAACCAGAUUCUUACAGAAGAUCAAAAUCUGAAUUAAGUCCAAAUUCAUCGUUCCUGAGAUAUCGCAGACAAUCCUCAAUCAAAUCAAGAAGAUCC